This 284-nucleotide long non-coding RNA is filed under the name Capsella rubella. Its description in RNAcentral is "long non-coding RNA (CRUB_LNC000010)". The record is from RNAcentral. Lineage: Eukaryota; Viridiplantae; Streptophyta; Magnoliopsida; Brassicales; Brassicaceae.
AAAGCAUUGGUUUUGGGUUCUUAUCCCAUUUGGGACCAAAUAUCAACAAGUCUUUCUACUCACUUCUAAACAUUCUUCAUGCAUCUCUAGCACUUGUAAUCAAUCAAAUUCAUUGUAUUAUAACAUAUUCUAACCCAAAAUAACUUUAUACAAGCCAUUCACUGCCUCAAAGCAAUGGUUUUGGGUACUUAUCCCAUUUGAGACCAAAUUUCAACAAGUCUUUCUUCUCACUUCUUAGCAUUCUUCAUACAUCUCUAGCACUUGUAAUCAAUCAAAUUCAUUGU